GAUGAACGCUAGCGGCAGGCUUAACACAUGCAAGUCGAGGGGUAUAGUUCUUCGGAAUUAGAGACCGGCGCACGGGUGCGUAACGCGUAUGCAAUCUACCUUUCACAAAGGGAUAGCCCCAGAGAAAUUUGGAUUAAUACCUUAUAGUAAUACGACUUGGCAUCAAGAUGUAUUUAAAGAUUUAUCGGUGAAAGAUGAGCAUGCGUCCCAUUAGCUUGUUGGUAAGGUAACGGCUUACCAAGGCAACGAUGGGUAGGGGUCCUGAGAGGGAGAUCCCCCACACUGGUACUGAGACACGGACCAGACUCCUACGGGAGGCAGCAGUGAGGAAUAUUGGACAAUGGGCGCAAGCCUGAUCCAGCCAUGCCGCGUGCAGGAAGAAGCAUCUAUGGUGUGUAAACUGCUUUUUGUACGGGAAGAAACACUCCUACGUGUAGGAGCUUGACGGUACCGUAAGAAUAAGGAUCGGCUAGCUCCGUGCCAGCAGCCGCGGUAA
Molecule: ribosomal RNA, 496 nt
Filed under: uncultured bacterium
Lineage: Bacteria
Description: bacterial SSU rRNA
Rfam family: Bacterial small subunit ribosomal RNA
Source: RNAcentral